AGACCAGACUCCUACGGGAGGCAGCAGUGGGGGAUAUUGCACAAUGGGGGGAACCCUGAUGCAGCGACGCCGCGUGGGUGAAGAAGUAUUUCGGUAUGUAAAGCCCUAUCGGCAGGGAAGAAAUUGGACGGUACCUGACUAAGAAGCCCCGGCUAACUACGUGCCAGCAGCCGCGGUAAUACGUAGGGGGCAAGCGUUAUCCGGAUUCACUGGGUGUAAAGGGAGCGUAGACGGCGAUGCAAGCCAGAUGUGAAAGCCCGGGGCUCAACCCCGGGACUGCAUUGGGAACUGGCGCGCUGGAGUGCCGGAGGGGUAGGCGGAAUUCCUAGUGUAGCGGUGAAAUGCGUAGAUAUUAGGAGGAACACCAGUGGCGAAGGCGGCCUACUGGACGGUGACUGACGCUGAGGCUCGAAAGCGUGGGGAGCAAACAGGAUUAGAUACCCUCGUA
Molecule: ribosomal RNA, 448 nt
Filed under: uncultured bacterium
Lineage: Bacteria
Description: bacterial SSU rRNA
Rfam family: Bacterial small subunit ribosomal RNA
Source: RNAcentral